GCCGGGAAGCACAUCACUUUAAGAACUGAUUUGGUGACCAGGGAUUACAGAGGGAUUGGAGGGGAUUGGGGGGAAAUUAAUUUAUUUCUCUGUCAAUGCCCUUAAUCCUCCCGUGAUCCCUUUGUCACCAAAUCAACCCUAACGUGUUCAAAAUUCUUCACUACGACGAAUCUUGUAACUGGGCUCCACGAAAUCCAGUCUGGAGCUUAUCAUAGUUUCAGCCUCCAGCUCCAAAUUUUAUGACAUCUGCUAGACUGAAAUUUUUAAACCCUCGGCCCCUAGCAGUAGCAGCGCAUGGACAUCUGCUAGACUGCUAGCAAAUACAUAACGUACGUAGAAUGUUUCCGUAGCUUAUUUAGCGUGCGGCCAGCAUUAAGCAGCGAUCGGACACAGUGCCUGACCGGCAGUCCGCCACACGCAUGGCCCCUCUCGAUUUGUUGGCAACGCCGGCCGCCGGCCGGUCAGUCAGUGGGGCCGUUGGGGCAUCCUUCCUUGUACAUGCAUGGCCGGGUGUAGGACCCACCAGAACCCUUGGUGGCGCACUGGUUGCCUUUCACGCAACCUGACGUGUUCUUGUCGAGGACGCGGUAGUCGAUACUGCCGCCGCGCUGCCGCCCGCCCCCAGCAGGCCGCCGAGCUCCGGCGCCACCUCGUCCUCCAGACGCCGGUAGUGCCGCCGCCACUUGUUACUCUGGGCACCGGCAGCGCCGCCGCCGACCCUUGUCCCGGGGCCGCUGCGGAUGAUCACCAUCCUGGCGCCGCUGUACUCAGCGGUGGCCGGGACCGCGGAUGCGACGACAACGAGCAGGAAAAGGGGGACGGCGAGAGGCAUGCUGCUGGCUGCCAGCAUCGUCGUGCACGACCGAUCGACUCGGUUGUUUCUAGGGGAACGCUGGGGUCGUCGUCCUCGUCUGGUGGUGUG
This 922-nucleotide unclassified non-coding RNA is filed under the name Zea mays. RNAcentral describes it as "misc RNA Zm00001eb029270". Lineage: Eukaryota; Viridiplantae; Streptophyta; Magnoliopsida; Poales; Poaceae. The record is from RNAcentral.